This 698-nucleotide ribosomal RNA is filed under the name Methanosalsum zhilinae. RNAcentral describes it as "bacterial SSU rRNA". It matches the Rfam family "Archaeal small subunit ribosomal RNA", at positions 5 to 702 of the family's 1478-position model. The record is from RNAcentral. Lineage: Archaea; Methanobacteriati; Methanobacteriota; Methanomicrobia; Methanosarcinales; Methanosarcinaceae.
CGGUUGAUCCUGCCAGAGGUCACUGCUAUCGGUGUUCGACUAAGCCAUGCAAGUUAUAUGUUCUUCGUGAACAUGGCGAACUGCUCAGUAACACGUGGAUAACCUGCCCUUGGGACCGGCAUAACCCCGGGAAACUGGGGAUAAUUCCGGAUAUGCCAUGAUAGCUGGAAUGCUUCGUGGUUCAAAAGGAUUCGUCUGCCCAAGGAUGGGUCUGCGGCCUAUCAGGUAGUAGCGGGUGCAAGGUACCUGCUAGCCGACGACGGGUACGGGUUGUGAGAGCAAGAGCCCGGAGAUGGAUUCUGAGACAUGAAUCCAGGCCCUACGGGGCGCAGCAGGCGCGAAAACUUUACAAUGCGGGAAACCGCGAUAAGGGGACACCGAGUGCCAGCAUACAAUGCUGGCUGUCCGCAUGUGUAAACGGCAUGCGUUAGCAAGGGCCGGGCAAGACCGGUGCCAGCCGCCGCGGUAACACCGGCGGCCCGAGUGGUGAUCACUAUUAUUGGGUCUAAAGGGUCCGUAGCCGGUUUGAUCAGUCCUCUGGGAAAUCUGACAGCUCAACUGUUAGGCUUCCAGGGGAUACUGUCAGACUUGGGACCGGGAGAGGUAAGAGGUACCACAGGGGUAGGAGUGAAAUCUUGUAAUCCCUGUGGGACCACCAGUGGCGAAGGCGUCUUACCAGAACGGGUCCGACGGUGAGG